CCUGGCUCAGGAUGAACGCUAGCGACAGGCUUAACACAUGCAAGUCGAGGGGCAGCGGGGGUAGCGAUACCCGCCGGCGACCGGCGCACGGGUGAGUAACGCGUAUGCAACUUGCCUAUCAGAGGGGGAUAACCCGGCGAAAGUCGGACUAAUACCGCAUGAAGCAGGGAUCCCGCAUGGGAAUAUUUGCUAAAGAUUCAUCGCUGAUAGAUAGGCAUGCGUUCCAUUAGGCAGUUGGCGGGGUAACGGCCCACCAAACCGACGAUGGAUAGGGGUUCUGAGAGGAAGGUCCCCCACAUUGGUACUGAGACACGGACCAAACUCCUACGGGAGGCAGCAGUGAGGAAUAUUGGUCAAUGGCCGAGAGGCUGAACCAGCCAAGUCGCGUGAGGGAUGAAGGUUCUAUGGAUCGUAAACCUCUUUUAUAAGGGAAUAAAGUGCGGGACGUGUCCCGUUUUGUAUGUACCUUAUGAAUAAGGAUCGGCUAACUCCGUGCCAGCAGCCGCGGUAAUACGGAGGAUCCGAGCGUUAUCCGGAUUUAUUGGGUUUAAAGGGUGCGUAGGCGGCCUUUUAAGUCAGCGGUGAAAGUCUGUGGCUCAACCAUAGAAUUGCCGUUGAAACUGGGGGGCUUGAGUAUGUUUGAGGCAGGCGGAAUGCGUGGUGUAGCGGUGAAAUGCAUAGAUAUCACGCAGAACCCCGAUUGCGAAGGCAGCCUGCCAAGCCAUGACUGACGCUGAUGCACGAAAGCGUGGGGAUCAAACAGGAUUAGAUACCCUGGUAGUCCACGCAGUAAACGAUGAUCACUAGCUGUUUGCGAUACACUGUAAGCGGCACAGCGAAAGCGUUAAGUGAUCCACCUGGGGAGUACGCCGGCAACGGUGAAACUCAAAGGAAUUGACGGGGGCCCGCACAAGCGGAGGAACAUGUGGUUUAAUUCGAUGAUACGCGAGGAACCUUACCCGGGUUUGAACGCAUUCGGACCGAGGUGGAAACACCUUUUCUAGCAAUAGCCGUUUGCGAGGUGCUGCAUGGUUGUCGUCAGCUCGUGCCGUGAGGUGUCGGCUUAAGUGCCAUAACGAGCGCAACCCUUGCCACUAGUUACUAACAGGUGAUGCUGAGGACUCUGGUGGGACUGCCAGCGUAAGCUGCGAGGAAGGCGGGGAUGACGUCAAAUCAGCACGGCCCUUACAUCCGGGGCGACACACGUGUUACAAUGGCGUGGACAAAGGGAGGCCACCUGGCGACAGGGAGCGAAUCCCCAAACCUGGCUCAGUUCGGAUUGGAGUCUGCAACCCGACUCCAUGAAGCUGGAUUCGCUAGUAAUCGCGCAUCAGCCAUGGCGCGGUGAAUACGUUCCCGGGCCUUGUACACACCGCCCG
RNAcentral lists this ribosomal RNA (1379 nucleotides) under uncultured bacterium. RNAcentral's name for it is "bacterial SSU rRNA". It matches the Rfam family "Bacterial small subunit ribosomal RNA", at positions 18 to 1396 of the family's 1533-position model. The record is from RNAcentral.